GCAUUAGUGGUUCAGUGGUAGAAUUCUCACAUUCCAUGUGGAAAGUUCAGGUUUGAUUCCCGGCCAGUGCA
RNAcentral lists this transfer RNA (71 nucleotides) under Loxodonta africana (African savanna elephant). It matches the Rfam family "tRNA". From Rfam's summary of the family: Transfer RNA (tRNA) molecules are approximately 80 nucleotides in length. Their secondary structure includes four short double-helical elements and three loops (D, anti-codon, and T loops). Lineage: Eukaryota; Metazoa; Chordata; Mammalia; Proboscidea; Elephantidae. The record is from Rfam by way of RNAcentral.